AUGGUUGAAGGCUCCGAGUCGAACAUCUCCAAUCUUAAGUUCCUUCUCCUCUGCUUCCAACAAAUGUCUGGCCUUAAGAUAAAAUUCGACAAGAGUGAUGUGAUGGUGAUGGGCUAUUCAGAGGCCGAGUCCCUCGCCAUCGCUAAUAGGCUUAAUUGUCGCCGUGGCUCCUUCCCCACGUCCUACUUGGGAACGCCCAUUAGCGACUCUCGCCUCACCGUUGUGGACCUCUGCCCGACCGUGGCCAAGCUUCAGACGCGCAUCGAACCUUGGCAGGGGCGUUGGUUGUCUAAGGCGGCUCGGACUAUUCUUAUUAAUUCAACCCUCUCCAGCCUCCUCUUGUUCCUCAUGAGCUUCUACAGCCUCCAUGAGACUCUGCACCACGAGAUCGCCAAAAUCCAGUCCCGCUUCUACUGGGCUGGCGACAACAAUAAGCAAAAAUAUCAUAUGGUCAGCUGGCCCUACAUCUGCAAGCCCAGGGAUUAGGGAGGCCUCGGUAUCAUGUGUUCUAAGCGCAUGAAUAUCGCCCUCCUGUCCCGUUGGCUCUGGCGCAUCUCGCAAGGCCAUGGUGGCCUCUGGCUCGACAUCAUCCGGAACAAGUACCUGCGUGGACAACCCCUUGCCUUUUUUCAGAGAUCUGGCGGCUCGCAGUUCUGGCAGUCGGUCGUCCAGCUUCUCCCUGUCCUUCGCAUUGGGACCUCCAUCUCGGUGGGGUCCGGCACAGCGACUUUGUUCUGGUUUGACCGGUGGGCCGGAGACUCACCCUUUGCCGCGCGCUUUCCCGACCUCUUCUCCACCGCGGUUGACCCCUUGAUUUCAGUUGAGAGGGCCCUUAUUGACCUAGGGCGCCUCGCUUUCCGGAGGCCUUUCGCGCCCCCCCCCCCGGAAUCCGCCGCUUGGCGUGAGUUACUUGACUGCGUGGCUCUCCAUGAGCCUGUGCUGGACGGUGGCCCGGGCCAGAUGAGGUGGCGGCUCGAACUUUCGGGCCAAUUCUCCACCAAGUCGCUCUACCUGGCCAUCGCCCCCUCCUCCGCCCCUCCCCCCUUACGACGGUGCGGUCCAUCCGCUUGCCUCUGA
Molecule: ribosomal RNA, 1077 nt
Filed under: Triticum aestivum (bread wheat)
Lineage: Eukaryota; Viridiplantae; Streptophyta; Magnoliopsida; Poales; Poaceae
Description: partial small subunit ribosomal RNA
Source: RNAcentral